Molecule: ribosomal RNA, 231 nt
Filed under: Triticum aestivum (bread wheat)
Lineage: Eukaryota; Viridiplantae; Streptophyta; Magnoliopsida; Poales; Poaceae
Description: partial small subunit ribosomal RNA
Source: RNAcentral
AUGCCACAACCUGAUCCAAAUAGUCUAGAGAAACGGAACUAUGACCCCGAGAGAGCUCAUUGGGAGUUGGUGAGGAUGAUUUUUGUUCAUGAAUUGCCAUUCUCUUUUGUGGAAUACGAGGGAUUUAGAAGAUUUGUGUACAGUCUAAAUCCCACAUUUGAGGUGGUGUCUAGGACGACAAUAAGAGUUGAUUGCCUCAUGCUAUUUCAUGAACAAAGGGAAAAUUUUUGA